CCUACGGGGGGCAGCAGUGGGGAAUAUUGGGCAAUGGGCGCAAGCCUGACCCAGCAACGCCGCGUGAAGGAAGAUGGCCUUCGGGUGGUAAACUUCUUUUAUGCGGGAAGAGCAGAAGACGGUACCUCCUGAAUAAGCCACGGCUAACUACGUGCCAGCAGCAGCGGCAAUACGUCGGCGGCAAGAGUUGUGGGGAUUUACGGGGUGUAAGGGGCGUUCAGCUGGGAAGGCAAGUUAGAGGUGAAAUCCCGCGGCUCAACGGGGGAACUGCAUUUGAGACUGCUUUGCUGGAGUACCGGAGAGGUCAGCGGAAUUCCUGGUGUAGCGGUGAAAUGCGUAGAUAUAAGGAAGAACACCAGUGGCGAAGGCGGAUGACUGGACGGCAACUGACGAUGAGGCGCGAAAGCGUGGGGAGCAAACAGGAUUAGAUACCCGAGUAGUC
Molecule: ribosomal RNA, 442 nt
Filed under: uncultured bacterium
Lineage: Bacteria
Description: partial 16S ribosomal RNA
Rfam family: Bacterial small subunit ribosomal RNA
Source: RNAcentral